RNAcentral lists this long non-coding RNA (419 nucleotides) under Mytilus galloprovincialis (Mediterranean mussel). The record is from RNAcentral. Lineage: Eukaryota; Metazoa; Mollusca; Bivalvia; Mytilida; Mytilidae.
AUAACUUUUAAAUUUUCUUUUUUAUUCAUUUAGUAUCUUUUUGCCUAGAUUUAGUUUUAUAACGUAUAAUAUGCUUUUGCGUUUAAAUUUGUUUGAUUUUGUGUACUAUACAUGUUUGAUUCCGCUAGUUUUAAUCCCUUUCAAUAACAAGAGUGGGCGUGUUGUGUGUAGUUAAGUGACGAGUGUUUAUUAUAAUAUUAUGAAUAUACAUUGGAGUGCCCAUGAAGUUCAUUGACAGUGUUUGUCAUUUUUAGCUCACCUGGCCCGAAGGGCCAAUUGAGCUUUUCCCAUCGUCGUCGUUAACUUUAAAAAAAAUCUUCUCCUCUGAAACUACUGGGCCAAUAUAAAUCAAACUUAGCCACAAUCAUCAUUUGGGUAUCUAGUUUUAAAAAUGUGUCCAGUGACCCUGCAAACCAACC